This 497-nucleotide ribosomal RNA is filed under the name uncultured bacterium. RNAcentral's name for it is "partial 16S ribosomal RNA". It matches the Rfam family "Bacterial small subunit ribosomal RNA", at positions 28 to 507 of the family's 1533-position model. The record is from RNAcentral.
GAUGAACGCUGGCGGCGUGCCUAAUACAUGCAAGUCGAGCGAACAGAUGAGGAUUUUUCUCCUCUGACGUUAGCGGCGGACGGGUGAGUAACACGUGGAUAACCUACCUAUAAGACUGGGAUAACUUUGGGAAACCUGAGCUAAGACCGGAUAAUAUAUUGAACUUCAUGGUUCAAUAGUGAAAGACGGUUUUGCUGUCACUUAUAGAUGGAUCCGCGCCGCAUUAGCUAGUUGGUAAGGUGACGGCUUACCAAGGCAACGAUGCGUAGACGACCUGAGCGCGUCAACCGCCAGCCUGGAACUGAGAAACGGCACAGACACCGACGGGAGGACACAGUAGGGACUCCUACGCGAUGGGCGAAAGCCUGACGUAGCAAAGCCGCGUGAAUGCUGAAGGUCUUCGGAUCGUAAAACUCUGUAAGUAGGGAAGAAGAAAAGUGUAAGCAACUAUGCACGUAUUGACGGUACCUAAACAGAAAGCCACGGCUAACUACGUG